RNAcentral lists this ribosomal RNA (405 nucleotides) under uncultured Clostridium sp. RNAcentral's name for it is "bacterial SSU rRNA". It matches the Rfam family "Bacterial small subunit ribosomal RNA", at positions 355 to 776 of the family's 1533-position model. The record is from RNAcentral. Lineage: Bacteria; Bacillati; Bacillota; Clostridia; Eubacteriales; Clostridiaceae. RNAcentral also lists the same sequence under 1 other name.
UCGGGAAUAUUGCGCAAUGGAGGAAACUCUGACGCAGUGACGCCGCGUAUAGGAAGAAGGUUUUCGGAUUGUAAACUAUUGUCGUUAGGGAAGAUACAAGACAGUACCUAAGGAGGAAGCCCCGGCUAACUAUGUGCCAGCAGCCGCGGUAAUACAUAGGGGGCAAGCGUUAUCCGGAAUUAUUGGGUGUAAAGGGUGCGUAGACGGAGGAGCAAGUUGGUUGUGAAAUCCCUCGGCUUAACUGAGGAACUGCAACCAAAACUACUUCCCUUGAGUGUCGGAGAGGAAAGUGGAAUUCCUAGUGUAGCGGUGAAAUGCGUAGAUAUUAGGAGGAACACCAGUGGCGAAGGCGACUUUCUGGACGAUAACUGACGUUGAGGCACGAAAGUGUGGGGAGCAAACAGG